This 426-nucleotide ribosomal RNA is filed under the name uncultured bacterium. RNAcentral's name for it is "bacterial SSU rRNA". It matches the Rfam family "Bacterial small subunit ribosomal RNA", at positions 354 to 796 of the family's 1533-position model. The record is from RNAcentral.
GUGAGGAAUUUUCCGCAAUGGGCGAAAGCCUGGCGGAGCAAUGCCGCGUGAAGGAUGAAGGCCUAUGGGUUGUAAACUUCUUUUCUCAGAAAAGAAUUAUGACGGUAUCUGAGGAAUAAGCAUCGGCUAACUCUGUGCCAGCAGCCGCGGUAAGACAGAGGAUGCAAGCGUUAUCCGGAAUGAUUGGGCGUAAAGCGUCUGUAGGUUGUUUAAAAAGUAUUCUGUCAAAGAUUAGGGCUUAACCCUAGAUAGGCAGAAUAAACUUUUAAGCUAGAGUUUGGUAGAGGCAGAGGGAAUUCCCGGUGGAGCGGUGAAAUGCGUAGAUAUCGGGAGGAACACCAAAGGCGAAGGCACUCUGCUGGGCCAAUACUAACACUGAGAGACGAAAGCGAGGGGAGCAAAUGGGAUUAGAAACCCCGGUAGUCC